RNAcentral lists this ribosomal RNA (429 nucleotides) under bacterium. RNAcentral's name for it is "partial 16S ribosomal RNA". It matches the Rfam family "Bacterial small subunit ribosomal RNA", at positions 355 to 776 of the family's 1533-position model. The record is from RNAcentral. RNAcentral also lists the same sequence under 1 other name.
UAGGGAAUCUUCCACAAUGGACGCAAGUCUGAUGGAGCAACGCCGCGUGAGUGAAGAAGGUUUUCGGAUCGUAAAGCUCUGUUGUUGGUGAAGAAGGAUAGAGGCAGUAACUGGUCUUUAUUUGACGGUAACCAACCAGAAAGUCACGGCUAACUACGUGCCAGCAGCCGCGGUAAUACGUAGGUGGCAAGCGUUGUCCGGAUUUAUUGGGCGUAAAGCGAGCGCAGGCGGAAUGAUAAGUCUGAUGUGAAAGCCCACGGCUCAACCGUGGAACUGCAUCGGAAACUGUCAUUCUUGAGUGCAGAAGAGGAGAGUGGAAUUCCAUGUGUAGCGGUGGAAUGCGUAGAUAUAUGGAAGAACACCAGUGGCGAAGGCGGCUCUCUGGUCUGCAACUGACGCUGAGGCUCGAAAGCAUGGGUAGCGAACAGG